RNAcentral lists this unclassified non-coding RNA (328 nucleotides) under soil metagenome. RNAcentral describes it as "partial contains 5.8S ribosomal RNA, internal transcribed spacer 2, and large subunit ribosomal RNA". The stretch from base 1 to 120 matches the Rfam family "5.8S ribosomal RNA", at positions 35 to 154 of the family's 154-position model. The record is from RNAcentral.
GAUGAAGAACGUAGCGAAAUGCGAUAAGUAAUGUGAAUUGCAGAAUUCAGUGAAUCAUCGAAUCUUUGAACGCACAUUGCGCCCCUUGGUAUUCCGAUGGGCAUGCCUGUUCGAGCGUCAUUAUAACCCCUCAAGCUCAGCUUGGUGUUGGGGCCUGCCGCACGGGCAGCCCUUAAAAUCAGUGGCGGUGCCAUCUGGCUCUAAGCGUAGUAAUUCUUCUCGCUAUAGAGUCCCGGUGGAUGCUUGCCAUUAACCCCCAAUUUUCUAUGGUUGACCUCGGAUCAGGUAGGGAUACCCGCUGAACUUAAGCAUAUCAAUAAGCGGAGGA